Onychomys torridus (southern grasshopper mouse) is the source of this 3204-nucleotide long non-coding RNA. RefSeq lists it as uncharacterized. NCBI's taxonomy places the organism in Eukaryota, Metazoa, Chordata, Mammalia, Rodentia, Cricetidae. The record is from RefSeq and is a predicted model, not a curated record. The transcript has 4 exons.
CGCGCGCCCGCCUCGCGUUCUGAGCCGGAGCAAGAGGCGCUUCAGAGAAGGAGGGACCGAUCUGCAGGAGCCGGCCGCCCAGCCGAGCUGCAGUCGCCGCUGCUGCUGCCGCUGCUGUCGCUGUCAGAGCCGGUCCAAAGAGUGACACCUUCGCGAAAAACAGGAGCUACGAAACAGUUGCACACGCAGUCUUCGGAUCCGGUCACCAUUCAUGAGCCCAAGGCUGUGAGACAUGUUCCAUGUGCCAAGGGGAGUUCUCACCAAAUCUUCUGAGGCUGUCCUAGACAUACACUGUUCGGACUGAGUCAGCAUUACCAGCUUAUCCAAGAGAAGUACCAUCCUAUUCGUUAACAACGUCGAAAGUAGCCUACUUUAAGAGGAAAUAUGCAGAAGAAGAAGAUUUACAUCAAGAUUACCAUGGGUGUUUUCCAAAACACUUGAUAUUACCUGAAGACAGGACCUGUAUCCUCAAACUUUCCCUGGAGAAGCUCAGGUUUCUUGAAGACCCAGAAACCUACUUAAGAAGGUCUGUGUUAAUUAACAAUUUGCUGAGGAAGAUACACCUAGAGACGGAGAAAGAGAGCUAUGAAUACUUUAAGGAAUCUCCCUCCUAUAAGACUGCUUAUUCGGAUACAAGAAAACGGCUGAAGUUUAUGGUACAGGAGUGCUGUUCCCAGUCUCUCUACUAUGAAGAGCUGCAUUCCUACCACAUUGUGCCUUAUACUUCGGAGAACCCCAUCUACGGGAUGGGCUACACUGGUGACCACUUGGAGCAAAAUUCUCAGUUGCUUAUUUAUAAAAUGAAUUAAAGUAACCGUUACGUUCAUUGAUAUUUUGUUUCUACAUGCCUGAACUGUUUAUAGUGAAGAUGUUAAUAUAAGACACUAAUUACCAGUGCACUUGAUCUCAGUGAUGAGACGCAUGCCGAACCGAGGGGAGAGAACCAUGGGUAUUACCCAGCAAUCCUUAGUGCCAUCACGUUGAAUGGAACAUAUACCCACUUUAUCAUAAAGCAGUGCAUCGAUGCAUUAGGAGAAAAGGUUUUUAAAACUUUUCUUUUUGAGAUAGGAAGGGAUUGAUCUCUGGUCAAUCUGAUAGGUUAAAAUUCUUAAGUCACCACCCCCACCUAAAUUCUGCCACUCUUAUUGAAAUAUAUAUAAUUGAUAAUGCUGUGGCCCUGAGGAUGAGGGGUGGAAUUAAUCUAAUUUUAUUCACACAGUGAGAGUUCUGUCCUUUCAUAAAUUCUUUGACUUGUCAAACACUGUGCCAAAUGAUUUGUCGUUAGUAUCCUUUAUCCGUGAGUUACAGAUGGGGCCAGCAUAGCAUAUACUGAAGCUGCCAUGCUCAGUGCGGCAACUGGGUUACCCCAAGCUCACCCACUUUCUUCUUUUUGUUGAUUAUUCUUAUAAUCUGAACAGACUUUCUCUUUAAGAAUGAAAUGUAAUAAAUGAGCAUCCCAUAUAGGAUCAUCUUUAAGUUCUACAGGUUGGUUAAAAUUUGUGCUGGGCCUUUAAGAGUUUAAAUUUUAUUUAUGAUCUUGCUUUUUUUUAAUAGGCUGUGAAGCUCAGGAAAGGGUAGGCAGGCAAAAUAUGUUUUUAAGAGGUUAAUAAUUUUUUUAAAAAACCUGCUCUGGAAAGUUGGUGAGAAUAAUAGAAUUUAGACGUGAUGUUAUUUCUUCAUCCCACUAAGAGCUCAUGGAAGGUACAGGGAUGGAACACUGCACUGAUUUUUGAACAGUAGUCGAUCGCUUACCAUGUAACAACAUGUCUGAGAAUGCCUUUGGGGAGAUAUGUGGAUAAGUUCUUAUGUUUUACAGUUCUAAGGGUGAAGAUGUAACAAGUUGGGUAGAUUUAUGAAAUUGUUGGGAGUGAUUCAUCGUGUUCUUGAGGUUUGAGUGAGACGUCUGACCUCAGGGUCUGAAGCUUUUGUCCUAUGGAGUAUUUCAUUUAAAGAACUUUUAUUGAUAAAAACAGAUUGGGAAAACUAGGUGCCAAAGGUGUAUUAAGAAAAUACCAAAGACUCAAAGAUGAGUGUUAGGGAGACUAUGACAGUGAAGGCCAGCAAAGACAAGGUUUUGAUUCAAGGACUGCAUGGGUAAUGUGGAAACAUUGUUAAGGGCUUCAUAACGACUCGUUUAUUGGUGUGCUUCCUAGUGCUUUUUGUUCAGAAUGAUGGCAAACAGGAAUACGAUGCUAAAUUCAGAUAUCAAGCUUUUGUAACGCAAAUAUGAUGACUGUCAACACAGUGUCAUCCCUAGCUGAAGUGCCAUCUUGUAACCAGGCUAGCUGCAUCUUCCUUUGCUUUUAUUUUUGAUACCACAUUUGGUUCCUGUGAUGAAUCGCCAAGGUGAUUUUGCACUAAGAAUAUGGACUCUCUAACUAGAUUGCCCUGAGCAAGGCUACAAAGAUACACAAUAGGUCCAAGUGUUGAGUUUAUAUUUAAUUGCUCAAUCAACAUUAUGAAAAGUGCUUUAGAAUAAAGUACAAUUUAUAAUAAGAGGCAAAGGCGUACAGACAAGUUAGUAUGAAUGGCAAGAUGCCUUUGAAAUCCAUAUAGAAAUAUUUAAAAAUUAGUUGGAGAGUAAGAUUUGGCACAAAAGUUUAAUAGUUUUAUUUCAUUGCUUAUAAAAGACCACAUUUCUCAGAAAACUCCUUCCAAAAAUAUAGAUUUAUUUAAAAAUGAGUCUAGUCCUAAACUCCAAAUUUGAUAGGAUAAUUAUGCCAUCAUAAGUCUAAAAAUAGAAUCAGUUCUCUGAUGACUUUUAAAUUGUUACUGAAAGAACACCUGGCAUGACUUACAAUAGCCCCUCUAGGAAGAGGCCACCAAUGCUAACAGGUAUGACAUUUUUUUAAAAAACACAUGUUUAAAUUGGUUAAAUAUAGAAAUACACGUAUUUGGGGGUAGAAGAGAAAAAAAAAAUCACCGAGAAAGUAUAAAUUUGUAAUGUUUCCUGUAUGUCAGAAACCUUAAUCAAAGCCAGAACUCUGGGACAAAGAACCAGUAACAGAUGUAAAAAUUCAUUUUAUUUCAAGACAUCAUUACUGGAGCGCUUUGAUCUACACAUUCUUAUAUAAGCUGUCUUAGAAGCCAGUGGUAUUUGUGAUUCUACUUUUAUUUAAAUAUGCAUUGAUUUAAAAAUGAAUUACUUAAAAAUACUUUUUAGUGCAAAUAAUUUCCCCCAAUAAACUGCUCAUAGAUAAGGAU